CCUACAAACCGUGAGACCAUGACCUGAGCCGAAGUCGGACGCUUAACUGACCGAGCCACCCAGGCACCCUGUACUGUUUCAAUUUUAGUUCUGGAAAAAAAGUUUUGAGUUUUUCCCUAUUUCCUGAAGCAUAUAUUGCAUAAGGAUUUGAAAGAAGUCACCCAUAAAACUAGCUGCUCUGGAUCACUUUGGAGUAACUUAUAUUGCUUUUCACAGAAUUGUCCCUUCAAGGAGAUCUCAGUGAAUGGGGCUUCCAAAGAAUGGUUUGGAUGACCGUGUUCAGUUCUCCUAAGGUGGCACAUAAUGUCUACUAUUCCAGAUGCCAAGAAGAGAAGUGAAUUUAUUAUCAGCAUUGGAUGCCUUACAGCUUAAUUCUUUCCUGGAAACUGGUUGAAAAGAGCUGGAAUAGAGUUAAACACGACACAUUAAAAUAACUGUAAAAGCCUCCUCA
This is a long non-coding RNA of Hyaena hyaena (striped hyena), 451 nucleotides long. RefSeq lists it as uncharacterized. The transcript is spliced from 3 exons. Lineage: Eukaryota; Metazoa; Chordata; Mammalia; Carnivora; Hyaenidae. The record is from RefSeq and is a predicted model, not a curated record.